GUUGGAAGAAGGCGAGAAAAGCUGUGUGAAUAGAAGAUAGAGCCCGUACCGCAAACCGACACAGGUAGAUAGGAAGAAGAUUCUAAGGCCAACGGGAGAAGGGUUGUUAAGGAACUCGGCAAGUUGACCCCGUAACUUAGGGAGAAGGGGUGCUCUUUAAGGAGAGCCGCAGAGAAUAGGCCCAAGCGACUGUUUAGCAAAAACACAGCUCUAUGCUAAAUCGAAAGAUGACGUAUAUGGGGUGACACCUGCCCGGUGCCGGAAGGUUAAGAGGAGGAGUGAGAGCUCUGAAUUGAAGCCCCGGUAAACGGCGGCCGUAACGAUAACGGUCCUAAGGUAGCGAAAUUCCUUGUCAGGUAAGUUCUGACCCGCACGAAUGGUGUAACGAUUUGGGCACUGUCUCAACAACCUGCCCGGCGAAAUUGUAGUACCGGUGAAGAUGCCGGUUACCCGCGACUAGACGGAAAGACCCCAUGGAGCUUUACUGCAGCUUAAUAUUGAAUUUCGGUAUUUCAUGUACAGGAUAGGUGGGAGACAGGGAACCAUAGGCGUCAGCUUAUGGGGAGUCGACCUUGGGAUACCACUCUUGAGGUGCUGGAAUUCUAACCUGUGGCUCUGAAUCGAGUCAGGGGACAUUGUUAGGCGGGCAGUUUGACUGGGGCGGUCGCCUCCAAAAAGGUAACGGAGGCGCUCAAAGGUUCGCUCAGCAUGGAUGGAAACCAUGCUUUUGAGUGUAAACGCAAAAGCGAGCCUAACUGCGAGACUGACGGGUCGAGCAGUAACGAAAGUUGGAGUUAGUGAUCCGGCGGUAUGUGAGUGGAAAUGCCGUCGCUCAACGGAUAAAAGCUACCCUGGGGAUAACAGGCUGAUCUCCCCCAAGAGUCCACAUCGACGGGGAGGUUUGGCACCUCGAUGUCGGCUCAUCGCAUCCUGGGGCUGAAUUCGGUCCCAAGGGUUUGGCUGUUCGCCAAUUAAAGCGGUACGCGAGCUGGGUUCAGAACGUCGUGAGACAGUUCGGUCCCUAUCUGUCGUGGGCGUAGGAUAUUUGAAAGGAGCUGUCCCUAGUACGAGAGGACCGGGAUGGACGCACCGCUGGUGCACCAGUUGUCAUGCCAAUGGCACAGCUGGGCAGCUAUGUGCGGAACGGAUAAACGCUGAAGGCAUCUAAGCGUGAAGCCGACCUUAAGAUAAGAUAUCCCUUCGUAAGAGUAAGACCUCUCAUAGACUAUGAGUUUGAUAGGCCUAAGGUGUAAGCACAGUGAUGUGUUCAGCCUGCAGGUACUAAUCGGUCGAGGGCUUUUCC
This 1303-nucleotide ribosomal RNA is filed under the name metagenome. Its description in RNAcentral is "bacterial LSU rRNA". It matches the Rfam family "Bacterial large subunit ribosomal RNA", at positions 1597 to 2925 of the family's 2925-position model. The record is from RNAcentral.